GGUUAAGCGACUAAGCGUACACGGUGGAUGCCCUGGCAGUCAGAGGCGAUGAAGGACGUGCUAAUCUGCGAAAAGCGUCGGUAAGGUGAUAUGAACCGUUAUAACCGGCGAUGUCCGAAUGGGGAAACCCAGUGCAAUUCGUUGCACUAUCGUUAACUGAAUACAUAGGUUAACGAGGCGAACCGGGGGAACUGAAACAUCUAAGUACCCCGAGGAAAAGAAAUCAACCGAGAUUCCCCCAGUAGCGGCGAGCGAACGGGGAGCAGCCCAGAGUCUGAAUCAGCUUGUGUGUUAGUGGAACGGUCUGGAAAGUCCGACGGUACAGGGUGAUAGUCCCGUACACCAAAAUGCACAGGUUGUGAACUCGAAGAGUAGGGCGGGACACGUGGUAUCCUGUCUGAAUAUGGGGGGACCAUCCUCCAAGGCUAAAUACUCCUGACUGACCGAUAGUGAACCAGUACCGUGAGGGAAAGGCGAAAAGAACCCCGGCGAGGGGAGUGAAAAAGAACCUGAAACCGUGUACGUACAAGCAGUGGGAGCACCUUCGGGUGUGACUGCGUACCUUUUGUAUAAUGGGUCAGCGACUUAUAUUCUGUAGCAAGGUUAACCGUAUAGGGGAGCCGCAGGGAAACCGAGUCUUAACUGGGCGUUAAGUUGCAGGGUAUAGACCCGAAACCCGGUGAUCUAGCCAUGGGCAGGUUGAAGGUUGGGUAACACUAACUGGAGGACCGAACCGACUAAUGUUGAAAAAUUAGCGGAUGACUUGUGGCUGGGGGUGAAAGGCCAAUCAAACCGGGAGAUAGCUGGUUCUCCCCGAAAGCUAUUUAGGUAGCGCCUCGUGAACUCAUCUUCGGGGGUAGAGCACUGUUUCGGCUAGGGGGUCAUCCCGACUUACCAACCCGAUGCAAACUACGAAUACCGAAGAAUGUUAUCACGGGAGACACACGGCGGGUGCUAACGUCCGUCGUGAAGAGGGAAACAACCCAGACCGCCAGCUAAGGUCCCAAAGUCAUGGUUAAGUGGGAAACGAUGUGGGAAGGCACAGACAGCCAGGAUGUUGGCUUAGAAGCAGCCAUCAUUUAAAGAAAGCGUAAUAGCUCACUGGUCGAGUCGGCCUGCGCGGAAGAUGUAACGGGGCUAAACCAUGCACCGAAGCUGCGGCAGCGACACUAUGUGUUGUUGGGUAGGGGAGCGUUCUGUAAGCCUGCGAAGGUGACCUGUGAGGGUUGCUGGAGGUAUCAGAAGUGCGAAUGCUGACAUAAGUAACGAUAAAGCGGGUGAAAAGCCCGCUCGCCGGAAGACCAAGGGUUCCUGUCCAACGUUAAUCGGGGCAGGGUGAGUCGACCCCUAAGGCGAGGCCGAAAGGCGUAGUCGAUGGGAAACAGGUUAAUAUUCCUGUACUUGGUGUUACUGCGAAGGGGGGACGGAGAAGGCUAUGUUAGCCGGGCGACGGUUGUCCCGGUUUAAGCAUGUAGGCUGGUU
Molecule: ribosomal RNA, 1482 nt
Filed under: Klebsiella pneumoniae
Lineage: Bacteria; Pseudomonadati; Pseudomonadota; Gammaproteobacteria; Enterobacterales; Enterobacteriaceae
Description: partial 23S ribosomal RNA
Rfam family: Bacterial large subunit ribosomal RNA
Source: RNAcentral